GACUAUACAUGCAAGUCGAACGAACUCUGGUAUUGAUUGGUGCUUGCAUCAUGAUUUACAUUUGAGUGAGUGGCGAACUGGUGAGUAACACGUGGGAAACCUGCCCAGAAGCGGGGGAUAACACCUGGAAACAGAUGCUAAUACCGCAUAACAACUUGGACCGCAUGGUCCGAGUUUGAAAGAUGGCUUCGGCUAUCACUUUUGGAUGGUCCCGCGGCGUAUUAGCUAGAUGGUGGGGUAACGGCUCACCAUGGCAAUGAUACGUAGCCGACCUGAGAGGGUAAUCGGCCACAUUGGGACUGAGACACGGCCCAAACUCCUACGGGAGGCAGCAGUAGGGAAUCUUCCACAAUGGACGAAAGUCUGAUGGAGCAACGCCGCGUGAGUGAAGAAGGGUUUCGGCUCGUAAAACUCUGUUGUUAAAGAAGAACAUAUCUGAGAGUAACUGUUCAGGUAUUGACGGUAUUUAACCAGAAAGCCACGGCUAACUACGUGCCAGCAGCCGCGGUAAUACGUAGGUGGCAAGCGUUGUCCGGAUUUAUUGGGCGUAAAGCGAGCGCAGGCGGUUUUUUAAGUCUGAUGUGAAAGCCUUCGGCUCAACCGAAGAAGUGCAUCGGAAACUGGGAAACUUGAGUGCAGAAGAGGACAGUGGAACUCCAUGUGUAGCGGUGAAAUGCGUAGAUAUAUGGAAGAACACCACUGGCGAAUGCGGCUGUCUGGUCUGUAACUGACGCUGAGGCUCGAAAGUAUGGGUAGCAAACACGAUUAGAUACCCUGGUAGUCCAUACCGUAAACGAUGAAUGCUGCUGUUGGAGGGUGUCCGCCCCCCAGUGCUGCAGGCUAACUUCAUCAAGUAAUCCACCAGGUGAGUACAGCCGC
RNAcentral lists this ribosomal RNA (879 nucleotides) under Lactiplantibacillus plantarum. RNAcentral describes it as "bacterial SSU rRNA". It matches the Rfam family "Bacterial small subunit ribosomal RNA", at positions 47 to 889 of the family's 1533-position model. The record is from RNAcentral. Lineage: Bacteria; Bacillati; Bacillota; Bacilli; Lactobacillales; Lactobacillaceae.